UACGAAGGGGGCUAGCGUUGUUCGGAAUCACUGGGCGUAAAGGGCGCGUAGGCGGCCGCUCAAGUCGGGGGUGAAAGCCUGUGGCUUAACCACAGAAUUGCCUUCGAUACUGUUUGGCUUGAGACCGGAAGAGGUGAGUGGAACUGCGAGUGUAGAGGUGAAAUGCUUAGAUAUGACAUAGAAUACCCAUUGCGAAGGCAGCUAACUACGCGAGAAUUGACGCUGAGGCACGAAAGCGUGGGGAUCAAACAGG
Molecule: ribosomal RNA, 253 nt
Filed under: uncultured bacterium
Lineage: Bacteria
Description: partial 16S ribosomal RNA
Rfam family: Bacterial small subunit ribosomal RNA
Source: RNAcentral